Molecule: long non-coding RNA, 2501 nt
Filed under: Mus musculus (house mouse)
Lineage: Eukaryota; Metazoa; Chordata; Mammalia; Rodentia; Muridae
Description: long non-coding RNA chr12:77294189-77296690
Source: RNAcentral
UCUCUUUCCAGUGAUGGCCGACUAGGCCAUCUUUUGAUGCAUAUUCCAGCAACGUUUUAACUGUACUAAAGUAUCCGCACUGAUGCUGCUUCCCAGUGAGAGCUUCUGUUCCCCACAUGUGACUUCUCUGCCUUGCUGUCCAUGGUCCAGAGUGGUAGUCCAUCUUCUGACCUCAGUUCCAUAAUAGAUUCAGCAAAGUAUUGAUUUUCAGCCUGUUUUCUUGUUAUGGGGGUGAAAGUAAUGAAUCCUAGGUUCACUACAUUUUAAAAAUUCAAUUAAAGUUAUUAUUUUUAUUGUAUUUGGUAGUAUGAUAAAGACUUUGUAUAUUAAUGUCUUUUGAUUUGGCAAUACUAACUAGAAAUUUUAUUUUCUAAUAUUGUGCUUAUAUAUUUUGGGGUAACAUUCUAAUUUGCAUGGAAGCUUUUUCAUAGGAAAUUGAUCCAUAAUACUGAUUUUUUUGAAAUUUUUAUCUUUAUUUUGUUUCUUAUUACUAUUAAAAUGAGUCAGUAUAUUUACUAUUAGCUUGCAAAUACAGUUUGAGACAAUAGCAAUCUUUGUUUCCUCUGUUGUGAGAUUAUGAUUUCUUUUUUGUAUUCAUAAACUGAGUGUCAGUUUGUGCCAAGUUUCACUAAUUGUACUUUGGAUACUAUACAGAUGAUGUUCAGAGUAUUGAUAGUUUGGAUUUGUGAAACCAGUUAAUUAUAUGAACCAUUUACAUUAGGUUUUUACUUUAACAUUUUUUAUUUAUUUUAUGUGAAUUAGUGUUUUGUCGGCAUGUGUAUAUCGGCACUUUGUGUGUGCUUGGUGCUGGCGGAGGUCAGAAGAGAAUGACAGAUGCACUGGAGCUGAGUUGUGAGCAGGGGACUGAACUCUGGGUCCUCUACAAAAACAGUGGGUGCUCCUAACUGCUUGACCAUCUCUUCAGCCUAACGUUGGAUUUCUUAAUUAGUAGAUUGAAUAGAGCAUAAUAGGCUAAGUCCUUUGAUUUAGACAGAAAAAAACUCAUGCAAAUAUGUUGGAGACAAAUUAGUGUAAAUUAAAAAAAUAUAAAAUAUGGUUUAAAGAUUUUGUUUUGAAAAAACUUCACAUUAAAAAAAAUUCACUAUAUUUUAGAUUUUGAUGUUCACUGAAGUGCUGAAUUUGAUGACUCAGACCCCACUGGGUUACCUGUAAAAGCUGUUAAAAGAUUAUUUUAAGUCUUCUGAGGCUCCGUGCAUGCCUCCUUCCUGAUGUCUAAGUGAGAGAUUUUAUACAUAACUACAUUUAACCUCCUGUUUUUCCAAGAUAUUUGCUAAAAAUAAAAGGAACACGUCUUUCUGCAAAAUUGAUUAGGCUUUGAUGAGCCCAAGAUAAGAAGAAAGGGAUUGCAAAUCAUUGGAUUCAUUUUAUUGUAAAAGUAGCAAAAUUCCUCAGUUGAUUUUUUUUUUUUCUUUUUCUGUGGCUUUGUUAAGAGAAGUAUCACUUAUCCGCUAUGGGAAACCAAAGUCUUGUCUACUAGAUGCUUAUAUAUUUAUUUACUUACAUCCUCAUUCCCUGAGUCUUGUGGUACCAUAUUUUCUUCAAAACAAACAAACAAACAAACACCAAAUCAAUCCAAAAAACCCAAACUUGAUUAAUAACUACUGUGAGUUUGAAAUAUGAAGUGAUAAAUGACUCUGGAGGAAGCUGAUAAAUUUACUAGGUGAGUUAGGUCUAUGCUAAUGAUUGCAGAACAAGAUAAUGUUUGCCAAAUUGUGAAAUUGUGCUUGAAAAUAAAAAGAGUCUGCGUGUUUGUAUGGAGAGUUAUUCUGCAGGCUAGUAGGUUCUGAGGAUUCAAUGCAUAUCCUCAUACCUGCAUGGUAAACAAUUUACCCACUGAAACAUUUCUCCAACCCUCGAAUGGCACUUCAAGGAGAUCAAGUUUAUUAUGACAAAGAAACUUUUUUGGAUCAUUUUAUAUAACAAAUAUCUAGUUCUUUUAUUUCAAUUCUCUAUGUAACUGCAUUGUACUCCCAUUUAACAGGGGUGGUGCAUUUUCUUAUGUGCUUAUAUUUAUAUUUGUUACUCUUUUCAUAUUAGAAUUCAAAUUCUCUGAUAUACUCUGAUCUACAAUACCAGGCACAUAGUAGGCAGUCAGGAAUAUUUGAUGAAUGGAGUGUUUUGUUUUGUUUUGUUUUUGGCGCAAAAGAGGUUCAGGUUUAAGUGGCAUAUAAAUAGAUUAAGGUAAUUUAAUUUUGUAAAGAUCAUGGGAGAAAGCAGCACUGUAAUAAGAACUCAUUAAUUUCCAGGCUUGACAGUUUUCAUUGUCAUAUUCUGCUAAAUAUGCAUCACCAUUAAGUUGGGGAUUUAAGACAAAAUUUGAUUAGGAGAGUUAACUUUUUAAUAAAAAGUCUAAAAAAAUUUUGAAGUAUUACAAAUUUUAUUUCAUUUUAUUUUAGAAGUUCCAUGAGAUACUCUGAAAGCUCUAGAACUUAGGAAAUGUCUGAAGUAAAAUGUAUCAAAGUAAAACUUUUUCAGAAUCU